RNAcentral lists this ribosomal RNA (465 nucleotides) under uncultured bacterium. RNAcentral's name for it is "bacterial SSU rRNA". It matches the Rfam family "Bacterial small subunit ribosomal RNA", at positions 338 to 795 of the family's 1533-position model. The record is from RNAcentral.
CCUACGGGGUGCACCAGUGGGGAAUAUUGCACAAUGGGCGCAAGCCUGAUGCAGCCAUGCCGCGUGUAUGAAGAAGGCCUUCGGGUUGAAAAGUACUUUCAGCGGGGAGGAAGGCGAUAAGGUUAGUAACCUUGUCGAUUGACGUUACCCGCAGAAGAAGCACCGGCUAACUCCGUGCCAGCAGCCGCGGUAAUACGGAGGGUGCAAGCGUUAAUCGGAAUUACUGGGCGUAAAGCGCACGCAGGCGGUCUGUCAAGUCGGAUGUGAAAUCCCCGGGCUCAACCUGGGAACUGCAUUCGAAACUGGCAGGCUAGAGUCUUGUAGAAGGGGGUGGAAUUCCAGGUGUAGCGGUGAAAUGCGUAGAGAUCUGGAGGAAUACCGGUGGCGAAGGCGGCCCCCUGGACAAAGACUGACGCUCAGGUGCGAAAGCGUGGGGAGCAAACAGGAUUAGAUACCCGAGUAGUC